AUUGAACGCUGGCGGCAUGCUUUACACAUGCAAGUCGAACGGCAGCACGGGUGCUUGCACCUGGUGGCGAGUGGCGGACGGGUGAGUAAUACAUCGGAACGUGUCCAGAAGAGGGGGAGUAACGCAUCGAAAGAUGUGCUAAUACCGCAUAUGCUCUGAGGAGGAAAGUAGGGGAUCGAAAGACCUUACGCUUUUGGAGCGGCCGAUGUCUGAUUAGCUAGUUGGUGGGGUAAGGGCCUACCAAGGCGACGAUCAGUAGUUGGUCUGAGAGGACGACCAGCCACACUGGGACUGAGACACGGCCCAGACUCCUACGGGAGGCAGCAGUGGGGAAUUUUGGACAAUGGGCGCAAGCCUGAUCCAGCAAUGCCGCGUGAGUGAAGAAGGCCUUCGGGUUGUAAAGCGUACUUUCAGUCGAGAGAAAGGACUGCAGUGAAUAACUGUAGUUUAUGACGGUAUCGACAGAAGAAGCA
This 473-nucleotide ribosomal RNA is filed under the name uncultured bacterium. RNAcentral describes it as "bacterial SSU rRNA". It matches the Rfam family "Bacterial small subunit ribosomal RNA", at positions 30 to 492 of the family's 1533-position model. The record is from RNAcentral.